AUUGAACGCUGGCGGCAGGCCUAACACAUGCAAGUCGAGCGGUUGAGGUAGCUUGCUACCGAUGCAGCGGCGGACGGGUGAGUAAUACAUGGGAAUCUGCCUGGUGGUGGGGGACAACGUUUCGAAAGGAACGCUAAUACCGCAUACGCCCUACGGGGGAAAGGGGGGGAUCUUCGGACCUCUCGCUAUCAGAUGAGCCCAUGUCGGAUUAGCUUGUUGGUGGGGUAAAGGCUCACCAAGGCGACGAUCCGUAACUGGUCUGAGAGGAUGAUCAGUCACACUGGAGCUGAGACACGGUCCAGACUCCUACGGGAGGCAGCAGUGGGGAAUAUUGGACAAUGGGCGCAAGCCUGAUCCAGCCAUGCCGCGUGUGUGAAGAAGGCCUUAGGGUUGUAAAGCACUUUCAGUGGGGAGAAAGGUCAUUCACCUAAUACGUGAGUGAAUUGAUGUUACCCACAGAAGAAGCACCGGCUAACUCCGUGCCAGCAGCCGCAGUAA
This 498-nucleotide ribosomal RNA is filed under the name uncultured bacterium. Its description in RNAcentral is "partial 16S ribosomal RNA". It matches the Rfam family "Bacterial small subunit ribosomal RNA", at positions 30 to 523 of the family's 1533-position model. The record is from RNAcentral.